UACGGGGGAAGCAAGCGUUGUUCGGAUUUACUGGGCGUAAAGGGCGCGUAGGCGGCCACCGCAGGUCAGUUGUGAAAUCUCUGGGCUUAACCCAGAAAGGUCAACUGAUACUGCGGGGCUAGAGUGCAGAAGGGGCAACUGGAAUUCUCGGUGUAGCGGUGAAAUGCGUAGAUAUCGAGAGGAACACCUGCGGCGAAGGCGGGUUGCUGGGCUGACACUGACGCUGAAGCGCGAAAGCUAGGGGAGCGAACGGG
RNAcentral lists this ribosomal RNA (254 nucleotides) under uncultured bacterium. Its description in RNAcentral is "partial 16S ribosomal RNA". It matches the Rfam family "Bacterial small subunit ribosomal RNA", at positions 524 to 776 of the family's 1533-position model. The record is from RNAcentral.